RNAcentral lists this ribosomal RNA (399 nucleotides) under uncultured bacterium. RNAcentral describes it as "partial 16S ribosomal RNA". It matches the Rfam family "Bacterial small subunit ribosomal RNA", at positions 360 to 776 of the family's 1533-position model. The record is from RNAcentral.
AAUAUUGCACAAUGGGCGAAAGCCUGAUGCAGCAACGCCGCGCGAGUGAUGAAGGCCUUCGGGUCGUAAAGCACUUUCAUCAGGGAGGAUAAGGACAGUACCUGAAAAACAAGCUACGGCUAACUACGUUCCAUCCGCCGCGGUAAUACGUAGGUGGCGAGCGUUGUCCGGAAUGACUGGGCGUAAAGGAUGCGUAGGUGGAUACUUAAGUGGGAUGUGAAAUCCCCGGGCUCAACCCGGGAACUGCAUUCCAAACUGGGUAUCUAGAGUGCAGGAGAGGAGAGCGGAAUUCCUAGUGUAGCGGUGAAAUGCGUAGAUAUUAGGAGGAACACCAGUGGCGAAGGCGGCUUUCUGGACUGUAACUGACACUGAGGCAUGAAAGCGUGGGUAGCAAACAGG